GCAGUCGACGGUACGCGGGGCAACCUGGCGACGAGUGGCGAACGGGUGAGUAAUGUAUCCCUUUGUGGGCAGUUGUGGGGGAUAACUGCUCGAAAGAGCAGCUCAUACCGCAUACGACCUGAGGGUGAAAGCGGGGGAUCGCAAGACCUCGCGCAAUUGGAGCGGCCGAUAUCAGAUUAGGUAGUUGGUGGGGUAAAGGCCCACCAAGCCAACGAUCUGUAGCUGGUCUGAGAGGACGACCAGCCACACUGGGACUGAGACACGGCCCAGACUCCUACGGGAGGCAGCAGUGGGGAAUUUUGGACAAUGGGCGCAAGCCUGAUCCAGCCAUGCCGCGUGCGGGAAGAAGGCCUUCGGGUUGUAAACCGCUUUUGUCAGGGAAGAAACGCUCUGGGUUAAUACCUCGGGGUAAUGACGGUACCUGAAGAAUAAGCACCGGCUAACUACGUGCCAGCAGCCGCGGUAAUACGUAGGGUGCAAGCGUUAAUCGGAAUUACUGGGCGUAAAGCGUGCGCAGGCGGUUAUGCAAGACAGAGGUGAAAUCCCCGGGCUCAACCUGGGAACUGCCUUUGUGACUGCAUAGCUAGAGUACGGUAGAGGGGGAUGGAAUUCCGCGUGUAGCAGUGAAAUGCGUAGAUAUGCGGAGGAAC
This 650-nucleotide ribosomal RNA is filed under the name uncultured bacterium. RNAcentral's name for it is "bacterial SSU rRNA". It matches the Rfam family "Bacterial small subunit ribosomal RNA", at positions 57 to 707 of the family's 1533-position model. The record is from RNAcentral.